GCCAGGCAUGGUGGCUCAUUCCUGUCAUCCUGGCACUUCGGGAGGCUGAGGCAGGAGGAUCGCUUGAGCCCAGGAGGUUGAGGCUGCAGUGAGCUGUGAUUGAACCACUGCACUCUGGCCUGGGCGACAGAGUGAGAUCCUGUCUCAA
Macaca fascicularis (crab-eating macaque) is the source of this 148-nucleotide unclassified non-coding RNA. It matches the Rfam family "Metazoan signal recognition particle RNA". Rfam says of the family: The signal recognition particle (SRP) is a universally conserved ribonucleoprotein. It is involved in the co-translational targeting of proteins to membranes. The record is from Ensembl. Lineage: Eukaryota; Metazoa; Chordata; Mammalia; Primates; Cercopithecidae.